This 135-nucleotide small nuclear RNA is filed under the name Saimiri boliviensis boliviensis (Bolivian squirrel monkey). RNAcentral's name for it is "U2 spliceosomal RNA (ENSSBOG00000009164.1)". The stretch from base 1 to 102 matches the Rfam family "U2 spliceosomal RNA". From Rfam's summary of the family: U2 is a small nuclear RNA (snRNA) component of the spliceosome (involved in pre-mRNA splicing). Complementary binding between U2 snRNA (in an area lying towards the 5' end but 3' to hairpin I) and the branchpoint sequence (BPS) of the intron results the bulging out of an unpaired adenosine, on the BPS, which initiates a nucleophilic attack at the intronic 5' splice site, thus starting the first of two transesterification reactions that mediate splicing. The record is from RNAcentral. Lineage: Eukaryota; Metazoa; Chordata; Mammalia; Primates; Cebidae.
AUUGCUUCUCAACCUUUUGGCUAAGAUCAAGUGUAGCAUUUGUUCUUAUCAGUUUAAAAGAGUUUUCUGAGCAAAGAACAAUUUGUAAAUCAGGCAGCCUCCUGAGCCAGAGUAGGCUCAAAGAAUCCAGCACAG